CAAUAGCGUAUAUUAAAGUUGUUGCAGUUAAAAAGCUCGUAGUUGGAUUUCUGGUCGGAAGCUCCUGUCCUCUGAUGAGCGUACAAGUGCGUCCUACCAUCCUUCUGUUAACCUUUAAGGCUUUCGCGGCUUUCUAGGGGCUCAGAUAUUUUACCUUGAGAAAAUUAGAGUGUUUCAGGCAGGCUAGCGCCGGAAUACAUUAGCAUGGAAUAAUGGAAUAGGACUUUUGCCUCUUCUGUUGGUCAUGAGGCUCGAGUAAUGAUUAAUAGGGAUAGUUGGGGGCAUUAGUACUUAACUGUCAGAGGUGAAAUUCUCGGAUUUGUUAAAGACUAACUCAUGCGAAAGCAUUUGCCAAGGAUGUUUUCAUUAA
Molecule: ribosomal RNA, 370 nt
Filed under: uncultured eukaryote
Lineage: Eukaryota
Description: partial 18S ribosomal RNA
Rfam family: Eukaryotic small subunit ribosomal RNA
Source: RNAcentral